Molecule: ribosomal RNA, 1205 nt
Filed under: Aster yellows phytoplasma
Lineage: Bacteria; Bacillati; Mycoplasmatota; Mollicutes; Acholeplasmatales; Acholeplasmataceae
Description: bacterial SSU rRNA
Rfam family: Bacterial small subunit ribosomal RNA
Source: RNAcentral
GAUAGGAGACAAGAGGCAUCUUCUUGUUUUUAAAAGACCUAGCAAUAGGUAUGCUUAGGGAGGAGCUUGCGUCACAUUAGUUAGUUGGUGGGGUAAAGGCCUACCAAGACUAUGAUGUGUAGCCGGGCUGAGAGGUUGAGCGGCCCCAUUGGGUUCGACCCCCGGCCCCAAUUUCUACGGGAGGCACCCAUAGGGAACUUUCGGCAAAGGAGGAAACUCUGACCGAGCAACGCCGGGUGAACGAUGAAGUAUUUCGGUACGUAAAAUUCUUUUAUUAGGGAAGAAUAAAUGAUGGAAAAAUCAUUCUGACGGUACCUAAUGAAUAAGCCCCGGCUAACUAUGUGCCAGCAGCCGCGGUAAUACAUAGGGGGCAAGCGUUAUCCGGAAUUAUUGGGCGUAAAGGGUGCGUAGGCGGUUAAAUAAGUUUAUGGUCUAAGUGCAAUGCUCAACAUUGUGAUGCUAUAAAAACUGUUUAGCUAGAGUAAGAUAGAGGCAAGUGGAAUUCCAUGUGUAGUGGUAAAAUGCGUAAAUAUAUGGAGGAACACCAGUAGCGAAGGCGGCUUGCUGGGUCUUUACUGACGCUGAGGCACGAAAGCGUGGGGAGCAAACAGGAUUAGAUACCCUGGUAGUCCACGCCGUAAACGAUGAGUACUAAACGUUGGGUAAAACCAGUGUUGAAGUUAACACAUUAAGUACUCCGCCUGAGUAGUACGUACGCAAGUAUGAAACUUAAAGGAAUUGACGGGACUCCGCACAAGCGGUGGAUCAUGUUGUUUAAUUCGAAGGUACCCGAAAAACCUCACCAGGUCUUGACAUGCUUCUGCAAAGCUGUAGAAACACAGUGGAGGUUAUCAGUUGCACAGGUGGUGCAUGGUUGUCGUCAGCUCGUGUCGUGAGAUGUUGGGUUAAGUCCCGCAACGAGCGCAACCCUUAUUGUUAGUUACCAGCACGUAAUGGUGGGGACUUUAGCAAGACUGCCAGUGAUAAAUUGGAGGAAGGUGGGGACGACGUCAAAUCAUCAUGCCCCUUAUGACCUGGGCUACAAACGUGAUACAAUGGCUGUUACAAAGGGUAGCUGAAGCGCAAGUUUUUGGCGAAUCUCAAAAAAACAGUCUCAGUUCGGAUUGAAGUCUGCAACUCGACUUCAUGAAGUUGGAAUCGCUAGUAAUCGCGAAUCAGCAUGUCGCGGUGAAUACGUUCUCGGG